This 68-nucleotide transfer RNA is filed under the name Potamiscus motuoensis. RNAcentral describes it as "tRNA-Gln". Lineage: Eukaryota; Metazoa; Arthropoda; Malacostraca; Decapoda; Potamidae. The record is from RNAcentral.
UAUAUGUUAGUGUAUAAGCACAAAAAAUUUUGAUUUUUUAAGAGAUGGUGGAAGCCCGUUAUGUAUAA